This 448-nucleotide ribosomal RNA is filed under the name uncultured bacterium. RNAcentral describes it as "bacterial SSU rRNA". It matches the Rfam family "Bacterial small subunit ribosomal RNA", at positions 29 to 507 of the family's 1533-position model. The record is from RNAcentral.
AGUGAACGCUGGCGGCGUGCCUAACACAUGCAAGUCGAACGGGGUAGCAAUACCUAGUGGCGCACGGGUGAGUAACACGUAGCUAAUCUGCCCUAUAGCGGGGGACAACAGUUGGAAACGACUGCUAAUACCCUAUACUCCGGUAUCUCACAAGAGGUAUCGGGAAAGUUUUUCGCUAUAGGAUGAGGCUGCGGCCUAUCAGCUAGUUGGGGAGGUAACGGCUCACCAAGGCUAUGACGGGUAGCUGGUCUGAGAAGAUGAUCAGCCACACUGGAACUGAGACACGGUCCAGACUCCUACGGGAGGCAGCAGUGGGGAAUUUUACACAAUGGGCGAAAGCCUGAUGUAGCAACGCCGCGUGGAGGAUGACGGAUUUAGGUCUGUAAACUCCUUUUAUAGGGGAAGAAAUUUGACGGUACCCUAUGAAUAAGCGCCGGCUAACUCCGUG